Molecule: long non-coding RNA, 1907 nt
Filed under: Felis catus (domestic cat)
Lineage: Eukaryota; Metazoa; Chordata; Mammalia; Carnivora; Felidae
Description: lncRNA (ENSFCAG00000047568.1)
Source: RNAcentral
AAAAAGAUCACAAUUUUUUUAUAAACAGAAAAAUGGAGAUUCUCUUCUCUUCAAGAUAGUAGAAAUAAGUUUGUCUGGUUGUAGGCAAGUUGGAUUUAGAGCUAACGGUGGUGGCCACAUAAACUCCUUCAUAUAGAUUUUGAGCCACCACUUGAUUAAAGUUGAUAUUUGAAUUUUUGAAGAAGAACAAUCAUUACUAAGUAAUGGGGCCUGUAACUCUAGUCACUGUAGCAUCAGUAGAUGUGUUCACUUGAAAACAUUUAUCAGUGGGGCACCUGGGGGGCUCAGUCGGUUGAGCGUCCGACUUUGGCUCCGGUCACGAUCUCACGGCUCGUGAGUUCGAGCCCCACGUCGGGCUCUGUGCUGUCGGCACAGAGCCUGCUUCAGAUCCUCUGUCCCCCUUUCUUUCGGCCCUCCCGCGCUCGUUCUCUCUCUCCCUCAAAAUAAAUAAAUAAACUUAAAAAAAAAGAAAAAGAAAAAGAAAACAUUUACAGGCAGUUUCAAGAUGGCAAAAUGGCCCACAAAUAUUGCCUAUGGCCAACCAUGAUAACCCUUUAGUAGCAUAAAGCGAUCUAAAGCCUAUCAGCCCCCGUGAAGGUUAUGGGAGAGCCGAGAAAGAGAGACAGACACAAAUGUGCAGUGUCGUGGCAACAAAUCCAUCCCUUGGUUUGGUCAACCAAUGAGCACUGACGUGGUUUUCAACAACUACAACGUUCGCCGAGUACUUGCGAAGUACCACGCCCUGUGCUAAGUACCUGAGAUAACUCCCUCGGCAGACACCCAUGAGGGGUGUGUCCCGAUCACCGGCUAACAAAUGAGAAAGUGCCACAAAGCACCGCCUGGGCUUACCCAGCUCGUAAGCCACAAAGCUGAGAUGGGAACCUAGCGGAACGUGUCCGCGAGGGGUGCGCUCCCGGGAGAGCGUGGGAGCGGUGCCUGGCAAACGGGCUGUUCCUGUGUUCAGAGCCAGGAGGACUCUGUUCUGCACAGACGUUCUUUGAGGAAGGAGACAGCAGAGGCACAUGGCCGUUGCUCUUCCAGAAUCCACAGGGGACUGGAGUCAGGUUCUCACUCAGCCCAGAUAGGAAGGGGCCAGGAGCACGAGGGCUACACAACACUCCUCACACCUCCUUCCCAGGUAUAUGUGGUGACUCUUACUGCACACCUACCCAUUCUCUUCUAUCGCUCUCGGCAAUCCUGCCUCCUCAGCCCCAGAUGGCCAUCCCAGCCCCGGUGCAACGUGACCCCUGAGUGCAAAAGCCUGCAAUCACCGAAUGACUGGUCCUGGUGUCUUCUCAGCUCACACCCACCUUGAACCCAGCUGGCCCAGCUCACCUGACAAUGGAUAAGCUCCCCAUGUCAGCGGGUCCUUGCGGGCAGCAGGCAUUGUAGGGAGGGAGGUGGUCCAAGAAAGGGUUCAUGGUGGGACAAAUAUUGCAUUUCAUCAUGCGUCAGAGGGAGAGACAAGGUGAGAUUUUUCCUCACUGCUUUAUUGCCAAAGAAGCUAUGAGAGGAAUAUACUGACCGGCUCUGAGUCAUAUUAAGCGUAAGCUGAUAAGCUUAUACCUCCCAGUUUCCGCUUGCUAAGUAUUAGAGGAAAAGCUUCCAUGCUGGGUCUUUCGUGUCAGAUGUGGCAAAUCUCACUGGACUUCCCCUGUGCCCAGGCCAAGGGAAAAGGCCCAAAACACACCAUCUCCACCCUUUGGUUUAUUUUUCUUUUGGGGUAGUAAUUUUUCUCCUUUUCCUUUUUUUCUGCCAGCCCUCCAUGCCCCUUCCAACUCCACCUAUAACAACUCUCCAGGAUGUCUAUGCUAACAACCUAGUACAUAUUCUCUUUGCUAGCUUUGUCAUUGUGAAGAGUUAUCUCAGUUAAUAAAAAUUGCACAUCCUAUACUAUUAGAGGUUUG